AGAAGUGUUUAGUUAUGUUUCCAUGGGCCUACUCUGACUUAAAACUUAAAUAGGCUAGAUCUAGAUCUAACUCUUACUAGUUAUUAAGGGCCUAAAAUAUUUUAUUUUUUAUGCGACUAGAAAAUGUGUAUUUAAUUGCUUCGAAACAAUUAGAUCUAGAAUCUAGAAAUUAUUUUCAAAACUAGUAGGCCUAAGUCAAUUAAAUAUCAAACUUGAUGUAGGCCCAUUAAAAAAAAAUCUACCAGAAAAAUUUAAGAGAAAAAGAAAGAUCUGAUUUGUAGAUAUGAAGAAAUUGUACAAUGUAAUUUUAUAACUUGGCUGCUAGCUGUGUUAGUUUUAUUUGUUUGAUUAGACUACUUUU
This is a long non-coding RNA of Physella acuta, 361 nucleotides long. RefSeq lists it as uncharacterized. The record is from RefSeq and is a predicted model, not a curated record. Lineage: Eukaryota; Metazoa; Mollusca; Gastropoda; Physidae.